CAUCAAAUCCUUGUGUUGACCCUAAAAUCACUAGACAGCUCCUAACUGGUUUGAAGAGGGCACCUAAGCCUCCAAUCCGGUCUAAUGAACUGAGUUGACCAGGUAAGCUCUCAGGUAAGUGGGGGGGUCACGAUGCGUUGCAAAGGUCCCACUUAAAAACCACUUGCCUCGAACAGAUGAACUGUCUCCCUUGGGACAAAGCUUGCCUAUACAUCAACUGAGCCACAGAGCGAAAUUGGUGCAACUUUCGGUGAUCUUCGUCCUAUUGAGCUCGAAUGUCCCUAGGGGCCAUCGUCUAAUUG
RNAcentral lists this long non-coding RNA (302 nucleotides) under Phoenix dactylifera (date palm). Its description in RNAcentral is "long non-coding RNA (PDAC_LNC011568)". The record is from RNAcentral. Lineage: Eukaryota; Viridiplantae; Streptophyta; Magnoliopsida; Arecales; Arecaceae.